UUUAAUUAGUACAGCCUGUAUUAGUAAUGUCAUCUAUUCUUUACAGGCUAUGCUAAUCUAUGC
MicroRNA precursor from Neolamprologus brichardi, 63 nucleotides. Ensembl annotates it as nbr-mir-2187b. Lineage: Eukaryota; Metazoa; Chordata; Actinopteri; Cichliformes; Cichlidae. The record is from Ensembl.